RNAcentral lists this ribosomal RNA (510 nucleotides) under Pilumnus sayi. Its description in RNAcentral is "partial 16S ribosomal RNA". It matches the Rfam family "Archaeal large subunit ribosomal RNA", at positions 1921 to 2664 of the family's 2987-position model. Lineage: Eukaryota; Metazoa; Arthropoda; Malacostraca; Decapoda; Pilumnidae. The record is from RNAcentral.
GUCUAUUUGGUGGGUAAAAUAGUCUGGCCUGCUCACUGAUAAUUAUUUAAAGAGCCGCGGUAUAUUGACCGUGCAAAGGUAGCAUAAUCACUAGGUUUUUAAUUGGAACCUUGUAUGAAUGGUUGGACAAAAGAAAAGCUGUCUGUACUACAAAUAUUGAACUUAACUUUUAAGUGAAAAGGCUUAAAUAAUUUAAAGGGACGAUAAGACCCUAUAAAACUUUAUAUGUUAAUAAAAUUUAAUUAGAUUAUAAAAAUUUAAUUUUAUGUUAUAUUUUAUUGGGGCGAUAGAGGUAUAAUUUGUGUUAACUGCUUAAUAGUAAAACAAAUAAUAUUUGAAUAACUAUAAAUGAUCCUUUUUAAAGAUUAAAAGACUAAGUUACUUUAGGGAUAACAGCGUAAUUUCUUUUGAGAGCCCAUAUCGAAAAAGAAGAUUGCGACCUCGAUGUUGAAUUAAAAUGUCUGUUAAGGGCAGCCCCUUAGCAAGAAGAUCUGUUCGAUCUUUAAAUUU